Molecule: long non-coding RNA, 4216 nt
Organism: Drosophila mauritiana
Lineage: Eukaryota; Metazoa; Arthropoda; Insecta; Diptera; Drosophilidae
Exons: 3
Source: RefSeq, a predicted model, not a curated record
UUUUAAAAGGAGGGAGAUGUGGUAUUCGUACAUAUAUAUUUAGAGUACAUAUUUACAUAGAGUGAAAUGUACUCAGAAUACUUGCAUAAAUCAAUAACAUAAUUACAUAGGCAUUGGCAGUUCUAGCAUAAACAAUAAUGUUCAAGUGGAAGCGUUAUAUGAUCGUCUGCUUAUGAAGCACACUGCACAAAUGCAUGGUCAGCAUUCCCACGCUAACCAAAUGCAGCUAUAUACAUACUGUGCGCACAUAGCAUUUUCGCUCAACUCUUUUAACAUACAUAUAUAAUACAUAUACAUUCACCAGGCAGCGAAGGCGCACUUCAUAGCCUAAGAAGAAUAUUGUAUUAGCUUUAAGAAUCAGUCGAGUUUUACCACUGACACGAGUCUAACUAUAAAAUAAACGCAGGUAUGCUCCAUAAAGAAACAUUCAAAGGAUUUUCAAUAUUAGAGUGGAUCCUCGGAGACACUCAUAGGCUACGUGCUCUUUAAGCGUUUAAGUAUUAUCCAUUAUGUAUGCAGUGGACUUAUCAAAGCCAGGAUGGAAAGAAACUCAGUUCGUUUCAAUAUUUAAGUCUCUGGGGCAGACGAAACAAAAUCUUACUGGCAAAAUGACGUUCACACCGUCAAGAACUUGGGUUUAGCAGGUCGUCAACGUAAAUGUGUAAAUGGAAUUCCUUUGAAAUCCUAUUGGAAUGCUGAACCAAUGCUCUUGAUUGGUACGAAUAACUGGAAGCUAGACGUAGCUCGAAAAAUAGAAGAAGGAAAGUGGUACGAGCCAAUCGAUUCAAAGUGCAUGCUUGGCUGGGGACAACAAGGCUCCAUCAGACCCAAAGUCGCAUAUUCCAUCCAUCACUGUCAGUGCAUUUAAAACAAUUAAUAAAGCCAUAAAACAAUCUAUAACGUGGACUCUGUUUAUUUUAAAACAUUUCGUUCCAUCGAUGACGGAAAAGCUCUCACUAGCAUAUUGUCGUCCGGACGUACCGGAAAGCUAUAACACCGCUUUGAGUAAACUGUCUAAAAACAAAAGUCAGCUAAGAAACUGACUUUUACACUAAGAUUGAACUACAAAUGAACAACUGCUAGAGAAAGGCUAUGUAGUCGAGUUUUCCAGUGACAACAUGAUUGUAAAAAAUGAGCGCAUUUGGUACUUCCCAAUAUUUUUUAUUUUUUUUUUUGUUAAAUAAGGAAACAAAAGCAAAAAAAAAUAUUUGUGAUAAAAUAAAUUACCUUCGAAAUAUCCUGUUCUUCAUGUAUUGCACACUUUGUUCGAUAUGAGAAUGCGAAGGAACACAAACUAGAGAGCCCCGAGCAUUUGACGAAAUUACAGAAGCACAGUACGGCGAUGAAUACGAAUACAGCCUAGCUACCGAAGUAGAAGCGAUCGAUGUAACCUUCAAACUCCGAGACAUAAACUCUGACGUUGGCUUUCAUACAGGGAACUGGGCGUUUAACUAACUAGAAGCCUUGAAACAAAUACAGGAUUCUUCGCCAGAUACGCAAACACUCAAGGAGCUCGGAGUCAUACAGAAAGUUCUCGCACACCAAACAAAACGAGAGGUUCUGCAAAUCUAGAUGUCAAUAUUUGACCCUUAGGAUGCUUGUCUUGCUUCACAUACCAGCGAUUCAAUUAAACGUCGAGCGACCGCUACGUUCCUCCUAUAUCUAGCCAUCCUUCGAGCUAGAUGCAAAGGGCAUACAGUUUAGGGAAGCUCCAAGAGAUACCUUCAAAUCAGAAAUCGACAUACUUCAGUCAAACGGAGUCAUACAAAUGCCAAGCUGUUUAAUCGGACUAAACGUUUACAUCGACGAUUUCGGAACCAAGGCCGGUCAGAUUCCAAUAACCAAAAAUUGUUUUGCCAAAGCGCCAUCACAUCACGUUUCUUAUAGUAAAGGACUUCCACGAAAGUGGAAUCAUCACAUGCUCCACAAAGGGACCAUUAAUCAAAUACGAAGCCAUUGUUUUAUUCCUCAAUUGCGUGUCGUAUUGCGGUCCGAAAAUGUUGUAAGAGAUCUAAAACCAAUUACGCCGUCCCGGAACCACCUGCCGAAAUGGCAUCAUUGCCACCUGGCAGGGUCGCCAUAUGUGAGAGCCCAUUUACCCACACCGGGGUAGAAUUUUCGGACCUAUACUCGUGACCGGGGUAAAUCGUUGGGCAUAUAGGAAUAGCCUACAGCUUGGAUACCAGCUCUUGUGCGAUGUGUCUUACUAACUUCAUGUCCCGACGAAGGAACACCGAGGAAAAUAUUCUCAGAUAAUGACACAAAUUUCAAGGCAACAGAGAAGUUGGGGAAGGAAGAACUAAAAAAGGUGGACUUCGGAAAACUUGUUGUUAAAUAUGACCAGACCAAGUGGCGCUUCAAUCCCCAUAUGCCAUUGAAGCCAUUGUUUUAUUCCUCAAUUGCGUGUCGUAUUGCGGUCCGAAAAUGUUGUAAGAGAUCUAAAACCAAUUACGCCGUCCCGGAACCACCUGCCGAAAUGGCAUCAUUGUCACCUGGCAGGGUCGCCAUAUGUGAGAGCCCAUUUACCCACACCGGGGUAGAAUUUUCGGACCUAUACUCGUGACCGGGGUAAAUCGUUGGGCAUAUAGGAAUAGCCUACAGCUUGGAUACCAGCUCUUGUGCGAUGUGUCUUACUAACUUCAUGUCCCGACGAAGGAACACCGAGGAAAAUAUUCUCAGAUAAUGACACAAAUUUCAAGGCAACAGAGAAGGUGGGGAAGGAAGAACUAAAAAAGGUGGACUUCGGAAAACUUGUUGUUAAAUAUGACCAGACCAAGUGGCGCUUCAAUCCCCAUAUGGGCGGAGCGUGGGAGCGCUUGAUUCGAUCCAUUACACCUAACUCCAACUACAACGACGAGACACUUAGGAAUGCUUUGAUGAGUGCAGAGUACAUAAUAAACUAACGCCCCUUAACUUUUGUAUCUAUUGAGGCAGAGGACGAUGACGCGCUGACGCCCAAUCACCUACAACUUAAAUCUGCAGAUGGCUACAAGCCACUGGUUACAAGUGAGUCAAACGCAACACAACGUUGGUAUCAGAUUAAGGAAUAACCAGACCAGUUUUGAAAGAGAUGGGUAAAGGAGUAAACGCCAAUCAUCACUAGACGGUUCAAAUGAUUUUCAAAACGACCACCACUAUACGUCGGAGACAUAGUAAUUAUAGUGGACGAUAAUCUCCCAAGGAACCUGUGGCCCAAAGGAAGAAUUGUGGAAGUCUGAACAGCAAAAGAUGUUCAGAUACGAUAAAAAGCUCUACUGCAUUGUAUUACAGAUAUCUAAGUAAACCGCUGUAGCUGUUUACUUGGGGGAAAUGUUACCACCACGGUUCAUCAAUUUUCUUUAUUUAUUAUUUUGUAUCUUUUUGUAUUUUUUUAUAUUUGGUAAUCUCAUGUGUAUAUCGAUCACAUAUCGGCUUGCCUGGUUCGUGACUACGCCAAUGGACGGCCACCACUACAUUUCAAUAUGAAUCAAUAAGAGAGAGUUUUAAUGCGAUCAAAACGGAAAGCUUUUUUAAAGCUCUCUGUUGUUUGUAAAAAUAAAAAAUUCAUUAUAAAACAGUAUAAAAUAACCAUUUUUGUUAAAAGCUUGUUAUUUAACGGUUUGCUGCUACAUCUCACUUAAAAUACUUUCAAUUCAAAAUCAAGUUUUCGACCUUGGUGCGAAUUUUUUCUGAAUUUUUCUUGAGGAUCACCGAUCAGCUCAGCUGUAAUUAUUAUAUAUUACAGUCGCCUUCCAUUUUAAAAAUUGCAGUAUGUUAAAUGUAACAUGGCACUAACAACAAACUGGCGCAAAUUAGGGGCAACAGUCUGUUAGUUACCUAUAUCCGCGACCAAAUAUAACUAUAUAUGCAAUCUUGUAUGAAUGCCACGCCAAAGUGCAGACGUAAGAGUGCAAGAGAGAGAAAAAGAGGACCUUAAAGACUCCCGCUGCUUAUGAUGCUUAUGAUCGCCCACUCGUGGAGGGCACUGCAUUCCCGCGUUAGCCAAAUGCCGCUACGUACAUAAUGUGCGCACAUAGCAUUCUUUCUCACCCCACCAUAUAUACAUGCAGCCGCUUCUCUGCUGGCUUCACCGGGUAGCUAAGGCGCACUUCAAAGGCUAAGAGGAAUAUUGUAUUAGCAUUAAGAAUCAGUUGAAUUUGGACAACAAAAGAAAGAAGUAACAAUAAAUAUAAACGGAGCUAUGCUCCAGAAAAACCAAAACAUUCUUGUGUCUUCA